AGCUCCAAUAGCGUAUAUUAAAGUUGUUGCGGUAAAAGCUCGUAGUUGGAUUUCUGUUGAGGACGACCGGUCCAUACCAUGUAUGCGCAUCUGGCUCGGCCUCGGCAUCCUCUCGUUUUGGGUUCCUGUGCUUGAUUGCAUGGGGCUUAUAGCGGGACUUUUACUUUGAGGAAAUUAGAGUGUUCACGGCAGGCUAUCGCCAGAAUACAUUAGCAUGGAAUAAUAUUAUAGGAUCGAGAUUCUAUUUUGUUGGUUUCUAGAAUUUUGAUAAUGAUUAAUAGGGACAAUUGGGGGCAUUCGUAUCAACACGUCAGAGGUGGAAUUCUUGGAUUGUGUUGCGACGAACUACUGCGAAAGCAUUUGCCAAGGAUGUUUUCA
This 378-nucleotide ribosomal RNA is filed under the name uncultured eukaryote. RNAcentral's name for it is "SSU rRNA". It matches the Rfam family "Eukaryotic small subunit ribosomal RNA", at positions 587 to 972 of the family's 1831-position model. The record is from RNAcentral.